This is a long non-coding RNA of Octopus sinensis (East Asian common octopus), 151 nucleotides long. RefSeq lists it as uncharacterized. The record is from RefSeq and is a predicted model, not a curated record. Lineage: Eukaryota; Metazoa; Mollusca; Cephalopoda; Octopoda; Octopodidae. The transcript is spliced from 3 exons.
UGGCAGAACGGUAGCCCGCCGAGCGAAAUACUUUGCUGUAAUUGUUCUGUCUUUACGUUCUGAGAUCAACUUCCGCCGACGUCGACUUUGCCUUUCAUCCUUUCAGGGGUCGAUAAAUAAAGUGACAGUUGCGCACUGGGGUCGAUCUAAU